Molecule: non-coding RNA, 272 nt
Organism: Pelobates cultripes (western spadefoot toad)
Lineage: Eukaryota; Metazoa; Chordata; Amphibia; Anura; Pelobatidae
Source: the annotation of a GenBank genome assembly
AAGUGAGCAAAUUGAGGAGGAGCCCUCACAGCUUUGAUUGGUGUUCUGGAUCAAUGGCUUUUUAUCAGUGUUGAUGAGCUGUGAGGAGGAGGGAAAGGUGGUGAUAGGGAUCUGUUAUCUUCCUGACACUCAUCUCAUUUGUGAACAGCGGGAAUCCCAAUUCCAAAACACCAAAGAAAAACCAACAGAAACUCGUAUAAAGCAGAAAACUGUGUUAGUCAAUAGCAUUGUAUUUAUUGCUUAUACUCGAUGUACCGUUGACGUACCUUAGC